Molecule: long non-coding RNA, 942 nt
Filed under: Helianthus annuus (common sunflower)
Lineage: Eukaryota; Viridiplantae; Streptophyta; Magnoliopsida; Asterales; Asteraceae
Description: hypothetical non coding rna
Source: RNAcentral
AUGAUGAUUCUCGUUGGCAGGAGGCAGAACGCACAGACGGGAGGGAAAUAUAAGGGGAAUGUUAGUGGGCUAAUGUAUAAGUGUAUAUAAUGGGUUUGGUUUAGGUUUGGGUAGUAUAAGUGUAUAAGUUCAAUGUAGGUAGUUUAAAAAAAAAAAAAUCAGACUUUACUAAAAAGAAUUUAUAAUAUAAAUCCAUAAUAUUUUUUACCUAAGAUGUGUGGACGAAAAAUUCUAAGGGGUGCGAACGAAAAAGUCCAAGGGGUGUGGACGUAAAAUUCCAAUGGGUGCGGAUAGGAUUUUCUACGGAAAUUAACAUUAAAUUUUUUUUUUCUCGGGGUGCCCCACCCCACUUUGGCAUGGGGGUGGGUCCACCCCUGGAUUAAGCAUAACCAAGAUAACACUAAUUAAAAGCACAUGUGAACAUCAGUUUGUUGACUUACAAAACAACAAAUAUUACUAGACGAAUGAACGUAAACUAACAAACAUAAAUGAAUGAACAUUCAUGAAUUUAUAUGAACGAACAUUCACGAUCAUAAAAUAAAAAACAAGACGCUUCAUGUUCAUUCAUAAAACUAAAUGAACAAAAAGAAUUACUCGUGUUCCAUAAACAAAUUCUUGACGAGCAAUUCAGGAAAAAAUCAUCGAACACUCGAUUUGUUUGUUGUAGGCCUACAACAUGGAAAAAGGAAUCACACUUGCGAGAAUACAAAACUUAUAUAAACCUACAGAUCUAUUGUCGCCACCAUUACUUUCGUCACCAUGACAAUUAAGGUUCGAUGUUUAAAUAUGCUCUAAAACCAGAGUGACUUCUUGGUUCCAAAAAGUAUACAUGAUUGAUUUGUUGUUUUGACAAAAACAGAGUGAAAUCGGACUAUUAACAUCCACUGGAAAACUGUCAUUUUAGGUCUCUUUCAAUAUCUGUAAUAGUUUGGCGUCAAACUA